This 475-nucleotide long non-coding RNA is filed under the name Cricetulus griseus (Chinese hamster). Its description in RNAcentral is "lncRNA (ENSCGRG00015036138.1)". The record is from RNAcentral. Lineage: Eukaryota; Metazoa; Chordata; Mammalia; Rodentia; Cricetidae.
CCUCAAGUGCUCGCCGCGCGUUCCCGCUGAGGAGCCGGAGAGCGCCGGAAGUUGAGGGCCUAGAGCCCACUGGGGCCAGCUCGCGGCCCUCGGCCUGCCCUCGGCAGAGCCGAGAACAUCCCGGGGCUCUAGUGUUGCGCCGCGGGCCGCUGUUCUCCUGAGAGACAGCUCCCAAUAAAGGCAGUUGCGUGCGUGUGUGCGCGCCUGUGUGCAGUGCUCAAACAGCUCGCUUAAUGUCCAACCUCGCGCGGUAGAUUUAACUCCUGAUGGGGACGGUCUCGGAGAGGUGACUUCCUGGUGUGUGCUGGAGGAGUUUUUUGCCGGCCUGUGGCCACUCACGGUUUCCCUCAAUGGCCUGAAGGACAGAGUUGCCGGUUCCAGGAAUAGGAGACCUCCAUGGUGGGAAGACCUGGCAUCCAGCAGCAGGUGUGGCACCAGGAGAAGAAAGCUGAAAGCUCACAUCUUUAACCCAAGC